This 1307-nucleotide ribosomal RNA is filed under the name metagenome. Its description in RNAcentral is "bacterial SSU rRNA". It matches the Rfam family "Bacterial small subunit ribosomal RNA", at positions 8 to 1321 of the family's 1533-position model. The record is from RNAcentral.
AGAGUUUGAUCCUGGCUCAGAACGAACGCUGGCGGCGCGUUUUAAGCAUGCAAGUCGAAGGAGAAAUCAGAGCUUGCUCUGGUGGACACUGGCGCACGGGUGAGUAACACGUGAGAAUCUGUCUUGAGAUGGGGGAUAGCCCGUGGAAACACGGGAUAAUACCGCAUAUGCCCACGGGUGAAAGGAGCUUUUGCUCCGUCUCUUGAGGAGCUCGCGGUCCAUUAGUUUGUUGGCAGGGUAAGAGCCUACCAAGACUACGAUGGAUAGCCGGCCUGAGAGGGUGUACGGCCACAUUGGGACUGAGACACGGCCCAGACUCCUACGGGAGGCAGCAGCUAAGAAUAUUCCGCAAUGGGGGAGACCCUGACGGAGCGACGCCGCGUGAACGAUGAAGGCCGAAAGGUUGUAAAGUUCUUUUAUAGGGGAAGAAUAAUGAUUGGAAGAGAAUGCCAGUCAGAUGACGGUACCUUAUGAAUAAGCUCCGGCUAACUACGUGCCAGCAGCCGCGGUAAUACGUAGGGAGCAAGCGUUGUUCGGAUUUAUUGGGCGUAAAGGGCACGCAGGCGGUUAUGUAAGUGUGGAUUUAAAGACCGGAGCUUAACUCCGUGUAUGGUCUGCAAACUGCAUGACUUGAGUAUAGGAUGAGAAACUGGAAUUCCGCGUGUAGGGGUGAAAUCUGUAGAGAUGCGAAGAAUACCGGUGGCGAAGGCGAGUUUCUGGCCUAUUACUGACGCUGAGGUGCGAAAGUGUGGGGAGCGAACAGGAUUAGAUACCCUGGUAGUCCACACUGUAAACGUUGUACACUAGGUGUCGGGGGUAUCGACCCCCCCGGUGCCGUAGCUAACGCGUUAAGUGUACCGCCUGGGGAGUAUGCUCGCAAGGGUGAAACUCAAAGGAAUUGACGGGGGCCCGCACAAGCGGUGGAGCAUGUGGUUUAAUUCGACGAUACGCGAAGAACCUUACUAGGGCUUGACAUUUAGACUGCGGACACAGAGAUGUGUCUUCCUUCGGGGGUCUAAACAGGUGCUGCAUGGUUGUCGUCAGCUCGUGUUGUGAGAUGUUGGGUUAAGUCCCGCAACGAGCGCAACCCUUACCGUUAGUUGCCAUCAGGUGAUGCUGGGCACUCUAGCGGAACUGCCGGUGACAAACCGGAGGAAGGUGAGGAUGACGUCAAAUCCUCAUGGCCCUUAUGUCCUGGGCUACACACGUGCUACAAUGGGCUGUACAAAGGGUCGCAAUACCGUAAGGUGGAGCCAAUCCCAAAAAGCAGUCCUCAGUUCGGAUUGAAGUCUGCAACUCGACUUCAU